RNAcentral lists this ribosomal RNA (310 nucleotides) under Cryptosporidium bovis. RNAcentral describes it as "SSU rRNA". It matches the Rfam family "Eukaryotic small subunit ribosomal RNA", at positions 319 to 630 of the family's 1831-position model. Lineage: Eukaryota; Apicomplexa; Conoidasida; Eucoccidiorida; Cryptosporidiidae. The record is from RNAcentral.
CUUUAGACGGUAGGGUAUUGGCCUACCGUGGCUAUGACGGGUAACGGGGAAUUAGGGUUCGAUUCCGGAGAGGGAGCCUGAGAAACGGCUACCACAUCUAAGGAAGGCAGCAGGCGCGCAAAUUACCCAAUCCUAAUACAGGGAGGUAGUGACAAGAAAUAACAAUACAGAGCCUUACGGUUUUGUAAUUGGAAUGAGUUAAGUAUAAACCCCUUAACAAGUAUCAAUUGGAGGGCAAGUCUGGUGCCAGCAGCCGCGGUAAUUCCAGCUCCAAUAGCGUAUAUUAAAGUUGUUGCAGUUAAAAAGCUCG